This 373-nucleotide ribosomal RNA is filed under the name Aliarcobacter butzleri. RNAcentral describes it as "bacterial SSU rRNA". It matches the Rfam family "Bacterial small subunit ribosomal RNA", at positions 996 to 1370 of the family's 1533-position model. Lineage: Bacteria; Pseudomonadati; Campylobacterota; Epsilonproteobacteria; Campylobacterales; Arcobacteraceae. The record is from RNAcentral.
AAAAGAAAAGAUUAGUGUAAGCUUGCAGAACUUGCAUACAGGUGCUGCACGGCUGUCGUCAGCUCGUGUCGUGAGAUGUUGGGUUAAGUCCCGCAACGAGCGCAACCCUCGUCCUUAGUUGCUAACAGUUCGGCUGAGAACUCUAAGGAGACUGCCUACGCAAGUAGGAGGAAGGUGAGGAUGACGUCAAGUCAUCAUGGCCCUUACGUCCAGGGCUACACACGUGCUACAAUGGGGUAUACAAAGAGCAGCAAUACGGUGACGUGGAGCAAAUCUCAAAAAUGCCUCCCAGUUCGGAUUGUAGUCUGCAACUCGACUACAUGAAGUUGGAAUCGCUAGUAAUCGUAGAUCAGCUAUGCUACGGUGAAUACGA